This 465-nucleotide ribosomal RNA is filed under the name uncultured bacterium. RNAcentral describes it as "partial 16S ribosomal RNA". It matches the Rfam family "Bacterial small subunit ribosomal RNA", at positions 28 to 506 of the family's 1533-position model. The record is from RNAcentral.
GACGAACGCUGGCGGCGCGCCUAACACAUGCAAGUCGAACGAGCGAGAGAGAGCUUGCUUUCUUGAGCGAGUGGCGAACGGGUGAGUAACGCGUGAGGAACCUGCCUCAAGGAGGGGGACAACAGUUGGAAACGACUGCUAAUACCGCAUAAGCCCACGACCCGGCAUCGGGUUGAGGGAAAAGGAGCAAUCCGCUUUGAGAUGGCCUCGCGUCCGAUUAGCUAGUUGGUGAGGUAACGGCCCACCAAGGCGACGAUCGGUAGCCGGACUGAGAGGUUGAACGGCAACAUUGGGACUGAGACACGGCCCAGACUCCUACGGGAGGCAGCAGGGGGGAAUAUUGCACAAUGGGGGAAACCCUGAUGCAGCGACGCCGGGUGGAGGAGGAAGGUCUUCGGAUUGUAAACUCCUGUUGUUGAGGAAGAUAAGGACGGUACUCAACAAGGAAGUGACGGCUAACUACGU